UAAUGGAAGUGAAGUUUUAAGGACAGUGCAAGAGUAUGUAUGGAUUAUUAACCAGCUGUGGCAUUGUCUUCUUGUUCAUGUGUAAAUUGUAGUUUUCUGGGGCACAAGCCUUGCUCAUCUCUUCUGAAAUACAGCUUGUAACAGAGGCAUUUUUAUCUCCUAUGUGGAUGGGAGGCUGAAGUGUGUGUGCCUGCACUCAUGAGAAUGGUGUUGCCCUGGCAGGAGCUGCAAGCAAGGGAAGUCCAGUAUACACCUUGUGUGCAGUGGGUGCAGAUUGACAAGAGCAUGGAAGAGCGGCCAGUCAAUAAGAAGAAACCGUCAUAUUGAAAAAGCAACAUGAUUUAAUUGUCGUCAUUCAUGGGCAUUAAAAUCCAGGUUGGAACAGAGGACCACAUUGGACCACAUCCACUCUGGGAAACAGGUUUACUCAUGUCCAUGGGAGCAUAUCCACACAAAGCUAUUCACAAAAGCUUACUGGUUGCUGCCUACUUAGAUACAUUCCUCUCUUUGAUAUGGAAGCAAUGGGACGAUACAAAACUUUGUGCAAUACUAAUAUUGGUCCACUGA
Molecule: long non-coding RNA, 567 nt
Filed under: Coturnix japonica (Japanese quail)
Lineage: Eukaryota; Metazoa; Chordata; Aves; Galliformes; Phasianidae
Description: lncRNA (ENSCJPG00005000547.1)
Source: RNAcentral